RNAcentral lists this ribosomal RNA (501 nucleotides) under uncultured bacterium. RNAcentral's name for it is "partial 16S ribosomal RNA". It matches the Rfam family "Bacterial small subunit ribosomal RNA", at positions 30 to 523 of the family's 1533-position model. The record is from RNAcentral.
AUUGAGCGCUGGCGGCAGGCUUAACACGUGCAAGUCGAGCGGAGAUGAGGUGCUUGCACCUUAUCUUAGCGGCGGACGGGUGAGUAAUGCUUAGGAAUCUGCCUAUUAGUGGGGGACAACAUUCCGAAAGGAAUGCUAAUACCGCAUACGUCCUACGGGAGAGAGCAGGGGAUCUUCGGACCUUGCGCUAAUAGAUGAGCCUAAGUCGGAUUAGCUAGUUGGGGGGGUAAAGGCCUACCAAGGCGACGAUCUGUAGCGGGUCUGAGAGGAUGAACCGCCACACUGGGACGGAGACACGGCCCAGACUCCUACGGGAGGCAGCAGUGGGGAAUAUUGGACAAUGGGGGGAACCCUGAUCCAGCCAUGCCGCGUGUGUGAAGAAGGCCUUAUGGUUGUAAAGCACUUUAAGCGAGGAGGAGGCUACUGAGACUAAUACUCUUGGAUAGUGGACGUUACUCGCAGAAUAAGCACCGGCUAACUCUGUGCCAGCCGCCGCGGUAA